UCAUUCAAAGUGAGGAUUAGAGGGAACUGAAUCAUCCAUUUGGAACAAAAAAAAAUAUCAGUGAUUCAGUUUCUUCUAAUAUCUCAUAUUGGAUGG
Molecule: microRNA precursor, 96 nt
Filed under: Oryza punctata
Lineage: Eukaryota; Viridiplantae; Streptophyta; Magnoliopsida; Poales; Poaceae
Description: MIR2275 microRNA precursor family
Rfam family: MIR2275 microRNA precursor family
Source: Rfam by way of RNAcentral